UCCAUGGCUCUGGAUUCACCAUUCCAGACCAACGUGGGCUCCCAGCCUCUGUCUCCCAUUGUUUCCCCUUCCUGAGUAAAUCCAGGGAUUCACAACUUAUUUGUGAGGGAGAAGGAAAUUUGGGAAUGCACAGACAGCUCUGUAAUUCCUCACUUUCAAGGAAUUCCUCAGAAUAUUUAUCCAGAUCAGGAUAAAUAUUUCUCUGUAGAACUAAAAUCAACCUUGCUAGUUGAAGGGAAAUAAAAAGAUUUGAUGGAUUUCCUUGCUUUCCAGGGAAAACCUGGUUUGCCAGGCCCUGUGGGGCUCCACGGGGCUCCUGGACUGCCUGGACCACAGGGAGAAAAGGGAAUGGCAGGGAUUGGCAUUCCUGGCACUGCUGGCACGAAGGGGGAAGAAGGAGAGCAGGGAAUGAUGGGACCUCCAGGAGCACCAGGACCAAAGGGAAUUCCAGGACCUCCAGGGCAGAAGGGAGACCAAGGAAAUCCAGGAUUUCCAGGUGCUCCAGCCUUGGAGGUAACUUGGAGUGGUUGAGAGCCCUUCUUGUCCUUCAGCUGUGCAGCUUCAACCCCAAAAUUCCAGCAUUCCAAGAGCUGUGUCCCACAGAACCGUGGGAAGAACACCCAGACCUUUUCCCUGACCCUCCUGCCAAACUUGUCC
Molecule: long non-coding RNA, 657 nt
Filed under: Zonotrichia albicollis (white-throated sparrow)
Lineage: Eukaryota; Metazoa; Chordata; Aves; Passeriformes; Passerellidae
Description: lncRNA (ENSZALG00000009116.1)
Source: RNAcentral